UACGGAGGGUGCAAGCGUUAAUCGGAAUUACUGGGCGCAAAGCGCACGCAGGCGGUUUAUUAAGUUAGAUGUGAAAUCCCCGGGCUUAACCCGGGGAUGGCAUCUAAGACUGGUAAGCUAGAGGCUUGUAGAGGGGGGUAGAAUUCCAGGUGUAGCGGUGAAAUGCGUAGAUAUGUGGAGGAACACCGGUGGCGAAGGCGGCCCCCUGGACAAAGACUGACGCUCAGGUGCGAAAGCGUGGGGAGCAAACAGG
Molecule: ribosomal RNA, 253 nt
Filed under: uncultured bacterium
Lineage: Bacteria
Description: partial 16S ribosomal RNA
Rfam family: Bacterial small subunit ribosomal RNA
Source: RNAcentral